AAUUUUAAUUUCCUUCUGCAGCCGCCUAGCCCUGGAAAAACAACAACAGCGACAACAACAGCGACAACCAAACCAAAAAACCACCUAACUGAACCCGGGAAGCUCCCGAGUUGGUUACACCCGCAUUUGCCCCGGAUGGAAGGCUGCCGAGCUAAGCGCCCCCCCCACCCCCCUCCGCCCCCCGAUUUAAGGUUGCCACCUUCCCGUUCGUUUCAAUGCUGUGUGUUUUUCAAGUGACCGAGUGGUACCUGAAUACAAUCUUUUUUGUUACUGCCGAGGAGGUAACAGAUUCAGCGAAUUUGCAUUUCUAGGCCCUGAUCGGGGCAGUUCCAUGAAUAUCAAUGCGCCAACGCUCGCUUUGUUCUCUGCGCUCGGCCCGGGAUGUCGUCUUCCCUGGGCCUCCUUAUUUUUGGCCCCGGGGAGGCCCUCCAUUGUGUGCAUAUACCCUGAUGUUCGGUCAUUAGCCCCUUCCCCCCUUAAGGGACCUGAGGUUCUUCCAGUUUUUCCUGUUAUUACCAAUAAAAGAUAAAAGGGGCGCCCUCGCGCACACCUGCUGGUCCGGAGCGUUUCUGCAGCGGACCGUCGGGGACGGAAACUGCCGAGUCACGGGGUCUGCUCAGAUUUUAGACUGUUGAAAAACUCUCCGCGGUGGUUGAAGUUGCAAUACCAGAGCCGUCUAUUAUCUUAGCCUAAAUAAAUGCAUACGUAUGCGGGUUAAUUUCCUCCUGGGAGUCAAAGGAAGACCAGGCAUUAAGCAUUCCUUAACGUCUGUUACUAUUAAGGAGAGACACUUUUAUCAGAGCCCAAACCUCCCGUCUGAUUGCACGGCGAUAACUUUGUGAGGGCCAAGCCUAAGAAGAACACUUUUGAGAAUCAUACCAAGGCACUAUUGAUAAUGAAGGCAGAAGGGUAGGCGUGAACAGGUCUCCUGCAGGCAGCCGGGGUGCGUGGCCCCGCAUUCACGCGGACACACGCUGUGCACCCACCCAGAGCCCCUGGAUACAUGCCUUCAUCCUCCGAGCAGGAAGUACCGUCCCGAUAUUACAGGUGAAGAAAUGGAGCCUGGCCCAGAGAAUUCACCUGUCCAUAUCCCCCCUGGAAAGUGGGUGGACGAGCCUUGAUUUUUAUGCAGGAGCUUUUGACUCCCGGAAUCCAAGAAGGGGAUUACUAUACUGACGUGAGGCUGAAAUGCUUGCCUUUAGGGUUGUUUAGUUGCUGAAAGGUAACCGAGCUGUCUGGCCUGCAGGAGGCGCUUCAAAAAAUAAGAACUAUUUUUAUAGCGUGAAGAGUGAGAACUGCAGCCACCGGGAUCCUUUGGUUAAGCAAUCCUGGGAUCAGGCAAAAGUCACCACACUGCUUGUUCCAGGAAAUGCCUGCUCCUGGGAGAUAAGAUGAUGCCUCAGCUCUCACUUCCAAACCCCACCUCCCUGGCCCACCAUUCCAAUGCUCUUAUGUCAGAAACUCUGCCCAGUCCCCACCUGUUCCUUGCUGUGCAAGACCCACUUCAAAAUCCCCCGGCCAGGGCCCUAAAACCCUAUAAAUACCAUCCCUCAUUUUCCUAAUUUGAGACUCUGUGGAAGCCAGUGUUGUCCUUUACUGCAGGAGGUCUAAUAAACCCAGUUUUGCUUGAUCAACA
Long non-coding RNA from Felis catus (domestic cat), 1636 nucleotides. RefSeq lists it as uncharacterized. The transcript has 2 exons. The record is from RefSeq and is a predicted model, not a curated record. Lineage: Eukaryota; Metazoa; Chordata; Mammalia; Carnivora; Felidae.